RNAcentral lists this ribosomal RNA (373 nucleotides) under uncultured bacterium. Its description in RNAcentral is "bacterial SSU rRNA". It matches the Rfam family "Bacterial small subunit ribosomal RNA", at positions 525 to 896 of the family's 1533-position model. The record is from RNAcentral.
ACAUAGGGUGCAAGCGUUGUCCGGAAUUAUUGGGCGUAAAGAGCUCGUAGGUGGUUUGUAACGUCGGGUGUGAAAAUCUGGGGCUCAACCCCAGACCUGCAUUCGAUACGGGCGAACUAGAGUGUGGUAGGGGAGACUGGAAUUCCUGGUGUAGCGGUGGAAUGCGCAGAUAUCAGGAGGAACACCAAUGGCGAAGGCAGGUCUCUGGGCCAUUACUGACACUGAGGAGCGAAAGCGUGGGGAGCGAACAGGAUUAGAUACCCUGGUAGUCCACGCCGUAAACGGUGGGCACUAGUUGUGGGAACCUUCCACGGUUUCUGCGACGCAGCUAACGCAUUAAGUGCCCCGCCUGGGGAGUACGAUCGCAAGAUUA